RNAcentral lists this ribosomal RNA (709 nucleotides) under Obesumbacterium proteus. RNAcentral's name for it is "bacterial SSU rRNA". It matches the Rfam family "Bacterial small subunit ribosomal RNA", at positions 801 to 1510 of the family's 1533-position model. The record is from RNAcentral. Lineage: Bacteria; Pseudomonadati; Pseudomonadota; Gammaproteobacteria; Enterobacterales; Hafniaceae.
GGGAGAUGUCGACUUGGUAAGUUGUGCCCUUGAGGCGUGGCUUGCCGGAGCUAACGCGUUAAGUCGACCGCCUGGGGAGUACGGCCGCAAGGUUAAAACUCAAAUGAAUUGACGGGGGCCCGCACAAGCGGUGGAGCAUGUGGUUUAAUUCGAUGCAACGCGAAGAACCUUACCUACUCUUGACAUCCACGGAAUUCGCUAGAGAUAGCUUAGUGCCUUCGGGAACCGUGAGACAGGUGCUGCAUGGCUGUCGUCAGCUCGUGUUGUGAAAUGUUGGGUUAAGUCCCGCAACGAGCGCAACCCUUAUCCUUUGUUGCCAGCACGUAAUGGUGGGAACUCAAAGGAGACUGCCGGUGAUAAACCGGAGGAAGGUGGGGAUGACGUCAAGUCAUCAUGGCCCUUACGAGUAGGGCUACACACGUGCUACAAUGGCAUAUACAAAGAGAAGCAAACUCGCGAGAGCAAGCGGACCUCAUAAAGUAUGUCGUAGUCCGGAUUGGAGUCUGCAACUCGACUCCAUGAAGUCGGAAUCGCUAGUAAUCGUAGAUCAGAAUGCUACGGUGAAUACGUUCCCGGGCCUUGUACACACCGCCCGUCACACCAUGGGAGUGGGUUGCAAAAGAAGUAGGUAGCUUAACCUUCGGGAGGGCGCUUACCACUUUGUGAUUCAUGACUGGGGUGAAGUCGUAACAAGGUAACCGUAGGGUUU